RNAcentral lists this non-coding RNA (116 nucleotides) under Nostocoides japonicum. RNAcentral describes it as "Tetrasphaera japonica SAM-IV sequence". It matches the Rfam family "SAM (S-adenosyl methionine) riboswitch aptamer". Rfam says of the family: SAM-IV is a mRNA element that regulates gene expression via direct sensing of S-adenosylmethionine (SAM or AdoMet). Lineage: Bacteria; Bacillati; Actinomycetota; Actinomycetes; Micrococcales; Intrasporangiaceae. RNAcentral also lists the same sequence under 1 other name. The record is from RNAcentral.
GGUCAAGAGUUCCAGCGUCAAGCCCCGGCUCGCUGGACGGCAACCCUCCUCCGCGGUGGGGUGCUCCGGGUGACGACCUGGCCGACGGCUCCAACCGGCGUCGGCAAGCGCGGACU